ACCUUGCAAACUUCAUUACCCACAUUCAACAGCUGUUAAAUAAGUCAUCAAAACAGUCAGAUCUGUGGGAAGAGAAUUUACACACUCCUGACAGUCUCAUCGCCUCUGCUUCAAGAAACGAAAUCGCUCAACUCCUCAACACAGCUGUUGCGAACCCCGGUCGGGAUCAGACCCGAUCCUCCGGGAAGGGAGACCCAAGGCACAAAGUUAGAGGGAGAAUCUUUUAAAAGGAAUUUGAAAGUGAACCGUGUUAAAUGGAGCUGAAGCCUUGGGAGAAAAACACAGGGACUAGGACAUGAGCAAGCUGCAUUUUCCCAGGACGAGUAGAGGAAGCAAACCAGUUCAGGAUCCUGACCCAGAGAAUGGUGUCACCUACAGUGGGUGGAUCUUCCCACAAUUAACCUAAUGAAGAUACCUCCCACCAAAGGAUGCUCAGAAGCCCAGUCUGCCAGGUGAAUCCAGAGCUCAUCAAAUAGACAACUGAGAUUAGCCCACAGCAGCAUUCCAGCCAUUGCAGCUCCUUUCCUGGCACCUACGUUGUGUGCAGCUUUGAACUUGUUGCUGCUCCUUGUGCUGGAUUAACUGAGAAUGGCCUCUACAGGCUCGUGUGUUCGGAUACGUGGUCUCCAUUUGUUGGAACUAUUUUGGGAGUGUUACAGGUGUGGUCUUGUUAGAGGACGUAUAUCACAGGGGACAGGUUUGAGGUUUCAAAAGACAUGUGCCAUCAUUCCCAAUGAUUCCUUCUCUGUCUCCUACUUCUGACCAAGAUGCACGAUCUCAACUGCCCCUGCCUCUAACCCUCUGAAAGCAUAGGCUUAGAUUAAACCCAUUCUCUUAUAAA
Long non-coding RNA from Mesocricetus auratus (golden hamster), 841 nucleotides. RefSeq lists it as uncharacterized. The transcript has 3 exons. The record is from RefSeq and is a predicted model, not a curated record. Lineage: Eukaryota; Metazoa; Chordata; Mammalia; Rodentia; Cricetidae.